RNAcentral lists this ribosomal RNA (362 nucleotides) under Foraminifera sp. RNAcentral's name for it is "SSU rRNA". The record is from RNAcentral. Lineage: Eukaryota; Foraminifera.
AGUUCGUGGUGUGAACUGUCUGCUUAAUUGCGUUUCUCAUAGAAACUUUAAAAGGACAAAUUUAGGUUUUACGAGUUGUUUGUAUUGCUUUUCGAAGCUUUCGCUCUCGGCCUAUUUGUUACCUUCUUUCUCGAAGGCAACGAACGUGACCGCAGCCUCUUGUUGCCUCUACAAUUUAAUUUUAAGUUUAUUUUUACUUGUAAAGAGAAGACUUUUUUUAAAUAUUUGAGGGUUGCACUUUUUUACAAGUUGUAAAGCACUUUACUUUCGGGUAAUGUUGUCUGAGCACUUGUGGUGCUUUAACUAGAGGGACCGCUGACAAAUAAUUUUUAAAACAGAGGAAGAUUGCGGCAAUAACAGGU